GACAGAGGGUGCAAACGUUGUUCGGAAUUACUGGGCGUAAAGCGUGUGUAGGUGGCUGCGAAAGUCGGAUGUGAAAGCCCUGGGCUCAACUCAGGAAGUGCACCCGAUACUGCGUAGCUCGAGUACCGGAGAGGUUGGUAGAAUUCUCGGUGUAGAGGUGAAAUUCGUAGAUAUCGAGAGGAAUACCUGUGGCGAAGGCGGCCAACUGGACGAGUACUGACACUGAGACACGAAAGCGUGGGGAGCAAACAGG
RNAcentral lists this ribosomal RNA (253 nucleotides) under uncultured bacterium. RNAcentral describes it as "partial 16S ribosomal RNA". It matches the Rfam family "Bacterial small subunit ribosomal RNA", at positions 524 to 776 of the family's 1533-position model. The record is from RNAcentral.